Molecule: RNA transcript, 2748 nt
Organism: Larimichthys crocea (large yellow croaker)
Lineage: Eukaryota; Metazoa; Chordata; Actinopteri; Sciaenidae
Exons: 7
Source: RefSeq, a predicted model, not a curated record
GUGCACACACUUGUGUGAUCAGCAGCUACUUAAGCUCAGGUGUGUCUGCUGUUCAUUUUCAGUCACUUUCUGCGUUGCUCUGUGUUUUUCAUAUCCAAGUUCUCAACAAGGUUGAAUAUGGCAGCAACAGUCACUGUCAAUAGACCUCCACCAGCUCAUCCAGGACUUAUUGGUGGGAAUGUACAGUCACGCCCUAACGGCAGUGAACUGAACUCUGGACUGCAGGAUCCAGGACUACAGCAGGAGCCUGGACCUUCAUCCCAGCCUCAACACCACGUCACUGCACGGCCUAUCUUCUAUGUCCCUGCUCCGCCUCCACCCCCUUUCCUCCAGUACCAGUGGCCCAUGCCCUUCUCUUAUAAUCCCUUUGCCGGCGUACCAGGCAUGGGCUAUGGUAUGGUCAUGCCCCCAUUCCCUCCUCCCCCCUUCAUGGAGGCUCCAGCCUAUAUUUUGCCGCACCCUCCCAUCCAACCAGUUGACUACAGGCGCUUGCUGCACCCCCAGGUCCAUCCUUCCAGCGCACCCUACCAGAACCCAAACCAGACCCGCAGGUUCCGCCCGCCUCAUACUGGCCCUGUUAGAGAAACUGUGAACUCCUCAGUCCAAACAGAGCCCACACAGAGUGGUUACGGUGAUGGGAGCCCACUUGUCAUAUCAGAUUCUGGGCACGGAACUGCCUCAAACUCUUCAUCCUCUUCAAGUUCCAGCUCCCAAAAACGGGAUUGUGCUGAUGUUGAGAACUAUGUUUUACCCAACAGUAAUACAAAUGACUUGGAGGUCAACAGGACCUGCGUAAAUGGCACAAUCAAACAUGGCUUUGACAUCCAACAUCCUACAGGAACAAAGAUUAUCCAGUCAUCUAUCAAAGCAACUGCAGAAACACAGACGUUCUGUAAAAACAGUGUUAGUCAGGAGACUGUUCCCCCUUACAAAAAUGGCCACUGCAAUAUGUGGUCAGUGAGUUCUCAAGACAGCAUGGUUCCUGUGUGCAGCUCUUCUCAACAAGAGGAUGAGGCUGUCAAAGAGAGACGUGUCUCUGUUCCUGACAUCCUGAUGAGUUGGGGAGAUGCCACGCCGCAGGCAACAAGGCUGAAAAUUGCAGACAAGCUAGGUCAGAACGACCUCGAGCUGCCAUCUUACGAAACUGAAGUAGAACGCGAAAAGUCAGUUAACCAAAAUGCAACUGAGGCCAAGAAUGGGCCAGUGGUGGCUGAUGUUGAAAAUGUCGUAAAUUCUAAAGACAGUGAAGCACUUUUUAAGAUCCUCAAACUGCCUUCUGCUCUUCAUGAGCUUCUCUCAGAGUCCAUAAAAGAGAAUGAAUCUCUGGGACUGGUUGGCUCUACAAGGCAGUGUCUGCCCUCCAGAGAUGACCUUCAGCGUUCCAUAAAUGAAUCCUAUAAGCUCCCUGAGGAUGAGCAAGAAAAUGGCAAUGAGACAAACCUACAUGAAGAUACUUCAGAGAUCAUUCCCUAUCAAAUGUCUAAAAAUAAUUUUCAGAUUAAGAAAAAAAUGAAUGAGUCUGUCUGGUCUGUGGAGUCUCUUGCCCCCUUUAUCCCCACUAAGGAGUUGUCGCUGCAGAGAGGCAUGUUUGAGCCUGAAAUAAUCAUUGAGAUGACAGAAGAAGCUGAAAAUGGUAGACCGUCAACCCAGAAUGACAACCUAAUUGUCAAAUCUACUACAGAAAGAAGGCAGUCUCGCAGGUUUUCCUCUCCUGACUCUAUUCCGAUAUCAGACAACUGGCUCAUUUAUAGUACCCCAGCUGAGAAGCAAAGGCAAUCAGAGAAGCCAGAAAUGCAGAGUGAAAAUGAUGCUUCUGAAAUGACCGGACCGAAACAGGACCAGAGCAUGGCUCCUCUAGAAAAGAUUCCCUUAGAUUCCCUGACUUACCUGCAAAGUAAAGAGAAUUUAUCUACCCCCACUAAGCAGGACAUGAAUGAAAAUGGGUCUUCUGAACCGGAGGCUAAUCAAAGCCCAAACCAGGAAUCUCUGACUAUAAAUGAGCAGCAGGAGAAAAGCCCCUGCUCUCCUGAGCAGAAAGAAAGUCUCCCCUUGAACUCUGCAACAGAGAAGAAAAUCUCAUCUGUUGGCCCGCUGCUUCUCCAAAAUGGAGCUGACAUGUGUUUGAUGGAUAGACUAUGUGGGAAUGAAGAAGUCAGUCAGCUGGGAAAUGAGCAGUUGUGUGUCCCAAUGGCUGACCAGACGAUAGUCAAAGUGUCCCCGUCAAAGGGUCAUUUGGUGGACUGUGGCAUCCAAUGUACUGGAUUCCUGUGUCCAUGUGAAAAGGUGCAGUAUUCCAUGGGACUAAGCAGAGGACCUCCUUUUGAAUGUUCAGACAUGAGGAAAGCAAACGGUGGCAAGGCUCAAGGGGGCUUCCACAAGAAUGAGAACAUUCAUAAGAACCAGAAGAGGCAUGGCCAGUGGAGGAACAGAGGUCAAGAAAAGCAGAGCAGCCAGCAGGAAGCCUACAAUGACAACUGUGGCAAGUCUUGGAAAUCAAAGGGGUCUGCUCUGAUCGUUCCCAGCAUUCAGCUCUGCUGGUGGGCUUCCUUUUUGUUAUAGGGCUGUCACAGCCCAACUCAAAGACUGCAACAAGGUGGAGACUGCGCAAGAUGGUGGAAAUGGAAGGAACCCAAGGUACUGACAACACUCUACAAGAAGAGACUUUGUUUUUAAAGAAUCGAUCUAAUAUUACAAUGAAUUUAAAAUAAAAUGCAAUUCUAUUUUUCAAUAAAUGUUUGUACAAGUCAA